AGAAGCUGCUCUCCAAGUGAAUACAGCUCAAUGCAACUCAACAAGUGUUUGCAGAGCACCUGCUGAAAGUCAAGGAGAAGCCUUACUCACUUCCAUAUCAACUGUACCAUUCACUUUCUGUCAUGCACAACCUCCCAAUAUUAAAUACCUUUUCACAUUCGAAGGCCUGGAUUCCUCAAGAUGCUGAAAAUUUCUGCCAAAUAUCUUGGUAACAUUUAGAACUGUUUUCAAAAGAAAGAAAGGCACUAUGAAGACCAGCUCUAAGCUCAAGCAAGGUGUUGAGGGAGACAGCUGGUGGAAGGCGGAUGGAUCAUGGCGGCAGUUCUCCCCAAGCUGUUCUUGUGAUACAGUGUGAAAACGGACUAAUACACAGUGCUUUGUGCUUGGAAAACGGCAUAAAGGAGAUGGAGGUAAUGUGCGAUGACUGAGAGAAUUUGUAGAACAGCAAAAACCACUGAAAUGCCAUUCUUCAAUAGAGGCACCAGAUCUCCAGGUGUGCCUAAAGAAUCUUGGGGAUGUGUCUUCUGAAGCUAAAGAGACCCCUAAGCAUCCUGCAAAAUACCAGUGCACAACAAUUUGGGACAUAGCUUAAGCUUUCUGCUCGAUGCUGGCGACAAAGAGGAGAAAGACAACUUCUACUCUCAGACAACUUCGUCUGCUUUAGGAGUUACAAACACAGACAAUUUCAACACUGGAUGAAAAUGAUGGGACAAAGGUAAAAGGAGAGAGGAAUGCAUCUCAGCUGAGUUUCAGAAAAAAAAAAGUUUUGAAGAGAUCUCAAUGUUAGGAAGCCAACAAGGCCUGCAAAAGUCACCUAGAUCAUGAAAUUGACUAUGUCAGGGGAGGCAAUUCGUCACAAUCGUGUUUGAAAAUGAGGAUAAGCAUGGAGAGCCAAUGAUUACAUUUCAAAAUGUCCUUCAUGGCUUAAACUUUUCCUUAUAGUUGUCUGGGAAGCAGAAUUAAAGUUGUGUGGCCCCUGAGAGAUAAGGGGACUUGGAUAGGGGAUGAGAUUGUGGUAGGAAGAUAAUAAUAAGGCUACAUAUCAAGAGACUGCACCUGUUGUCCUUAAGCAUGUAACCUGAAUGAGUGGCCCUAGCUUCCAUGGAAACACCUGAACCUCAGGUCUUCUCCUUUAAGAAACAACAUGAGGAUUCCCAGGCAAGAUGGCCAAAUAGGAACAGCUCCUGUCUGCAGCUCCCAGGGAGACCAAUGCAGAAGGCAGGUGAUUUCUGCAUUUCUAGCUCAGUGUAAACAAAGCCACCUGGAAGUUUGGAUUGGGCGGAGCCUACCAGAGCUGGGCAAAGCCUCUGUAGCCAGACUGCCUCUCUAGAUUCCUCCUCUCUGGGUAGGGAAUCUCUGAAAGAAAGGCGGCAGCCCCAGUCAGGGGCUUAUAGAUAAAACUCCCAUUUCUCAAAGACAGAGCACCUGGGGAAAGGGGCGGCUGUGGGCUCAGCUUCAGCAGACUUAAAUGUUCCUGCCUGCUGGCUCUGAAGAGAGCAAUGGAUCUCCCAGCACAAUGCUCGGCUCAAGCUCUGCUAAGGGACAUUCUGCCUUCUCAGGUGGGUCCCUGACCCCAUGUCUCCUGACAGGGAGACACCUCCCAGCAGAGGUUGACAGACACCUCAUACAGGAGAGCUCCGGCUGGCAUCUGGCAGGUGCCCCUCUGGGACAAAGUUUCCAGAGGAAGGAGCAGGCAGCAAUCUUUGCUGUUCUACAGCCUCUGCUGGUGAUACCCAGGCAAAGAGGAUCUGGAGUGGACCCCUUAGCAAACUCCAGCAAACCUGCAGAAGAGGGGCCUGACUGUUAGAAGGAAAACUAACCAAUAGAAAGCAAGAGCAUCAAAAUCAACAAAAAGGAUGACCCCACAAAAACUCCAUCCUAAGGUCACCAACAUCAAAGACCAAAGGUAGAUACAUCCACAAAGUUGAGAAAAAAACAGUGAAAAAAGACUGAAAAUUCCAAAAAACAGAAAGCCUCUUCUCCUCCAAAGGAUCACAAUUCCUUGCCACCAAGGGAAAAAACUAAUGGAGAAUGCGUUUGAUGAAUUGACAGUAGUAGGCCUCAGAAGGUAGGUAAUAACAAACUUUUCUGAGCUAAAGGAGCAUGUUCUAACCCAAUGCAAGGAAGCUAAGAACCUUGAUGAAAGGUUAGAGGAAUUGCUAACUAGCAUAACCAAUGUAGAGAAGAACAUAAAUGAUCUGAUGGAGCUGAAAAACACAGCAUAAGACCUUCGUGAAGGAUACACAAGUAUCAAUAGCCAAAUUGAUCAAGCAGAAGAAAGGGUAUCAGAGAUUGAAGAUCAACUUAAUGAAAUAAAGUGUGAAGACAAGAUUAGGUAAAAAAGAAUGAAAAGGAAUGAACAAAGCCUCCAAGAAAUAAGGGACUAUGUG
Molecule: long non-coding RNA, 2390 nt
Organism: Pan troglodytes (chimpanzee)
Lineage: Eukaryota; Metazoa; Chordata; Mammalia; Primates; Hominidae
Exons: 9
Source: RefSeq, a predicted model, not a curated record